This 613-nucleotide long non-coding RNA is filed under the name Volvox carteri. Its description in RNAcentral is "long non-coding RNA (VCAR_LNC000434)". Lineage: Eukaryota; Viridiplantae; Chlorophyta; Chlorophyceae; Chlamydomonadales; Volvocaceae. The record is from RNAcentral.
AUGAUGAUGAUGAUGAUGAUGAUGAUGAUGAUGAUGAUGAUGAUGAUGAUGAUGAUGAUGAUGAUGAUGAUGAUGAUGAUGAUGAUGAUGAUGAUGAUACGCCCGCCAGGAUACUCCAAAAUAUGUUGGAGCAAAUUAUAAAGCCCCCCCCCCAGUAGCUGUCGGGGGGUCACUGCUAGCUGCGACCUUACAGAUGUUCCUUAGGGCACACCAAGCCAUGUACUCCUGUAUGUAUAUCUUCUGUUGUGGAGAGCCAACCAACAUGCAAUCUUCACAGCAGGUACCAACAACCGCCAUUCGGAGAUAGAACUCCUAGUUAUUAUUCCUGCCUGCCUACCUACCCCCUACCUACCUACCCCCCUACCUACCUACCUACCUACCUACCUACCUACCUACCCCCCUACCUACCUGCCUACCUACCUUACCUAUCUACCUACCUACCUACCUACCUACCUACCUACCUACCUACCUACCUACCUACCUACCUUCCUGCCUACCUACCUACCUACCUACCUACCUACCCACCUUCCUGCCUACCUACCUACCUACCUACCCACCUUCCUGCCUACCUACCUACCUACCUACCUUCCUGCCUACCUACCUACCUGCCUAC